This 253-nucleotide ribosomal RNA is filed under the name uncultured bacterium. RNAcentral's name for it is "partial 16S ribosomal RNA". It matches the Rfam family "Bacterial small subunit ribosomal RNA", at positions 524 to 776 of the family's 1533-position model. The record is from RNAcentral.
UACAGAGGUCCCAAGCGUUGUUCGGAUUCACUGGGCGUAAAGGGUGCGUAGGUGGUGGGGUAAGUCGGAUGUGAAAUCUCCGAGCUCAACUCGGAAAUGGCAUUGGAAACUACCCUGCUAGAGGGUCGGAGGGGGGACUGGAAUACUUGGUGUAGCAGUGAAAUGCGUAGAUAUCAAGUGGAACACCAGUGGCGAAGGCGAGUCCCUGGACGACUCCUGACACUGAGGCACGAAAGCUAGGGGAGCAAACGGG